AAGGUUCGACAAGCAAUCGCUUCGGCUUUUAGCCGGAGAGGAAAGUCCGAGCUCCACAGGACAUGAUGCCGGGUAACACCCGGGAGCCGUAAGGCUACAGAAAGUGCAACAGAAAAUAUACCGCCUGUUUGCAGGUAAGGUUGAAAUGGCGGGGUAAGAGCCCACCGGGAAGGCAGUAAUGCGUUCCGCAUGGUAAACCUCAUCAGGAGCAAGGCCAAGAAGCAUGUGGAUUGUCCGUCCUAUACAUGCGGGUAGGCUGCUAGAGACUGACGGAGACGUCAGUACCAGAUAGAUGAUUGCAUAAACAGAACUCGGCUUAUGGAGGACCUUCUUU
RNAcentral lists this RNase P RNA (334 nucleotides) under Spirochaetales bacterium. RNAcentral's name for it is "RNase P RNA component class A". It matches the Rfam family "Bacterial RNase P class A". From Rfam's summary of the family: Ribonuclease P (RNase P) is a ubiquitous endoribonuclease, found in archaea, bacteria and eukarya as well as chloroplasts and mitochondria. Its best characterised activity is the generation of mature 5'-ends of tRNAs by cleaving the 5'-leader elements of precursor-tRNAs. Cellular RNase Ps are ribonucleoproteins. The record is from RNAcentral. Lineage: Bacteria; Pseudomonadati; Spirochaetota; Spirochaetia; Spirochaetales.